Molecule: ribosomal RNA, 300 nt
Filed under: uncultured bacterium
Lineage: Bacteria
Description: bacterial SSU rRNA
Rfam family: Bacterial small subunit ribosomal RNA
Source: RNAcentral
GCGUGCGGGAAGAAGGCCUUCGGGUUGUAAACCGCUUUUGUCAGGGAAGAAACGCUCCAAGCUAAUAUCUUGGAGUAAUGACGGUACCUGAAGAAUAAGCACCGGCUAACUACGUGCCAGCAGCCGCGGUAAUACGUAGGGUGCGAGCGUUAAUCGGAAUUACUGGGCGUAAAGCGUGCGCAGGCGGUCGUGCAAGACAGAUGUGAAAUCCCCGGGCUCAACCUGGGAAUUGCAUUUGUGACUGUGCGACUGGAGUGUGGCAGAGGGGGAUGGAAUUCCGCGUGUAGCAGUGAAAUGCGU